Numida meleagris (helmeted guineafowl) is the source of this 5773-nucleotide long non-coding RNA. RefSeq lists it as uncharacterized. The record is from RefSeq and is a predicted model, not a curated record. NCBI's taxonomy places the organism in Eukaryota, Metazoa, Chordata, Aves, Galliformes, Numididae. The transcript has 2 exons.
UGGAGAUCCCUGCAUGCCUGAGGUCUUCUAAAGCUCCUGUCCUUGCAGUUCUCAGGACUCGACUAGCAGUUUUCAAAUGAAGCGAAAGGCUUAAUGUGAGGUGAAUCCCGAGACCACAAACAGUCUGGACUUCAAACAGUGAGAAAAUUGGCGCCGAAUGAUUCCGCACACAAAGCAGAAAACUUUCAUUUCCUGCAGGCAGGAUGGAAUUGACUGUUAUAUUAAGACUUCAGAAGGAGCACUGCCCCGGAGUAAUUUCACUGCUGUCAGGCAAUGUUGACAUCUAGAUUAACCUCUGUGCAGUGAAUUUUACAGCAAAGCCUCAUUGUAAUGCAUGUGGGGUAUCUCCUGUAAAUCCCAGCUGAAGCCCACAGUGUCCCACCCUUCUGCACACGAGAAAGGGUUGGGGAGCAGCCGCUAUCAUUUUUGACCCCAGCAGAGCGUGACUCUAACCUCAUCCCGGCCACUUCUGCUGAAACUGAUUUCCUACCCUGCCACAGUGACAGUAGCUCCAGACAGUAUUUUUUUUCUUUAAUUCCCUAAAGAGGCUUACAUCAUGAAGCUGACUUUUUUUUUUUUGUCAGUGACAAACAGUUCCCUUCACACAUCCACCCAACAACACAGAUCUAAUUAAAAAGCACUAGUUAACCAGUAGCAAUUAGGUGCUCGCACUGAUUAACUCCAAAGCAUGCAAUCCCCACAAUGCAGCGAUCAGACCCGAAUGGCAGAUAAACUCCUAGCUGUUGAGAGACAAUGGCAUCCAACCCAACUCAACAGCCCACAGGUGCACUAUUAGCUCUGUCUACCAAACCAGAACUGCAUGAAUUAAAGAAGUGCACCAUGCGGGUCAGAGGACAUAACAAAAGAAAUCUCCUGACUCCUGAACUCAGUGCUCAUGCUGUUAAGCUAGACGUUUAGGCCAGAACCAAGCUCUUUUGUCCUUUGCUAGAAGAGCAGGCCAAGCAGCGAGAAUUCCCAGGCAGGAGCACCACUGCUUCUUCACUCUUUUGCAGACAAUCCUUUUGGUGGUAGAUACAAGAUACGCCUCUGAGAUCUACUUCUUCAGGAAGAAAAACAAAACACUAAAAUCUAAAAAACUGGAAGAGGAAGGGAGUUAUUUGUCUGCUACUGCCACACUUUCUCCUUCAUACCCUCAUUUUCAAACUCAGACACUGGUCUGCAGUCUUAUGCAGAAAGUUCUAGGCAAGAGACAGGCAAUCAGGCACAGAAUAGGUUAGUUGCUAACCCUAAGGGCAAAAUCUCACCGGUAGUUCUAGAAACGUCGGAGCCCUCCCAUCCUUGCACCAAUAGUUUUUUUGAUACGUUUGUCUAAGUCUUUGGAUAGCCUAUGAAGAGGUGACAUACCUGUAUUUCACCUCAUCUCCAAAUGGAGUUGUGUGGCCCUGGCAUUUCUGAAAUCAGUCCCAUCAGGAAGAUUUCUUCAAACUAACAUUUACCAUUCCCAAUCAGAAUACGGCUGAAAAGGCUAUCCAAGGUUAUAGAGAAGGUCAAGCUGUUGCUUUGGACCGAGGAAGGAAUUUGAUGGACCAAUUUAACCGCCACAGCACAUCAAAACCUGGUGGCUUCAUUUAAAAAGUAAUCAGUAUUGUAUUUCGCUUUAGACAUCCGUGCAUUAGUGUUCUGCAAAUAUGAUUUCCUCUUUGUUUGCAUUAUUGAUGCCAUAAAAUGUCAGACACAUUAAAGAAAAAAAAAAAAGAGGCCAACCUUUGGGGUUUGGAGUGAUUCUGGCUGAAUUGCAGUUGGGUUACUUUUCCUUUUAUUUCCCAUGGUAGUGAUGCACUCUUACUCAUUCUGCUAUUGCUUUACAAACAGUUCUCUGUAAGUGUAUUUAUUCAGCCAAUCAUACUUCAGGAAAUGCAUAACCUUGAUAUUUUUUGCUUUAUGUGGAACUGUGUGUAUGUAUCUGUUGGGGAGGGGGAAUGGUGCAGGGAAGUGGGAGGGUGGAGUUUUUUUUACAAGAGCCCUCCGGUGCUUGGUAGUAAGUUGUUUUUCUGCAAUGCUGUGUGACACCCUUCUGCUCAAGUGGCUGAAUUGAUUUCAUCUCAAGAACUGACUUUUGUGAUCAUGAUUUGAGACCUUCUGGUUUUGCUCCAUCCAGAAUCUUAGUCAUUUGCUUUCACCAUUCAACAGCCAUCUGCCGUCCACAAUGGUGCCUAGAUGUCUACGCCACACAGAUUACACAGUACUUAAGUCUCAGGCAUGUGACAGAGGAGUUUUAGCUCCUUCAAGUCCUUGACCAAUGGCAAGUUUACUGAUUUAGUUCGGUUCCUAAAGUCUUGCUCACUUAAGGCUCCCUAACUACUGUUUCCAAGGCAAAUACUAUUAUCUGCUAAGUGCUUUUUCUCCCAGACUAUUAAAGAGCACAGGCUUUAGUAGCCAUGUACCUUCUAUGUUAACUGUCUAUAACAAAUGCUAAUCUAUUGUUCAAUAUUCCUGUGAACUUUUUGGAAGAAUAUUCUCUCUUAAAGUGAGUUUUUUUCCCCCCAGUUUUUACACUAGUUUUUUGUUCUUUACCUUUUCAAAAAUAUUUUGACAGACUAGAGGAAAAACUUGCCUGUCAGUCUGUCCUGUUAACUUGUUUCUGCUUUGAUGCACUCACCAGGGAGCUCAAACAUGUGGUUUGUGUGGUUUCCCACCAGCUUACCUAGCAUGAGAAUUAAAGCAUCUCUGUCUUGGAAGUACAAGUGGAAUGGGGUGGAAUUCUCUCCCCUAUGCAGGGAUUUUCAUUAUUGGUAAGAUUUCUCUUGAGCUUUUCCUUACAGUGAUGACAAGAUUUGGGAGCAGGUUGAAAGGAAUGCAAGGAAGGAAUUUAAGGAAGGGACUCAACUAGGAGCUGGACUUCAAGGUCAUCUGUUCACCUACUAAGCCUCUCCUUGUUAAUAGAGCAAGAAUUCCCCAGCUUUUCAUUAGCAUCUUCCUGUCCAGCUUUCACGUUCAUAUUCCCGUUUUGAUGGCCUUCAGAUGAUCUCCAAAUCUUCUUAUCUUCACAGAUCUAUCUCUGGGGUAUUCAAACAGCCCAAAAAAGAAACAGUAAGGUCUGAAUGGGCGUUUAAUUCAGUGUCCUUCUGCUUCUUUUUCAAAGGGGCAAAGACCAUGAAAGUACCAAAAUGGGAGAAGUAGAAGUAGUGCAGCUUCUUUUUCAACUGAAAUAUUUAAGAUGCCAUGCAGCAGUACCUAUAAAUAUGCCUUGAAAUGUUGAAUGAGUACAAGGAGUCUAUUUGAUUUUGUUUUUAUGCCUGUAAUUUCUCUCACCAAGAAUUCAGCUGUUACUCAGCCCCCAGCAGGUUGUUCUGAUUGCUGGAGAGAUGGUGGGGAUUGAUUCUGGCUGGGAUCUGUUUGAGGCUAGCCUCAUUCUCAUGUACCUAGAUUGAGACAAUAGAAAUAAUCAGCAACGGACUGAAUUGUUGUUCCUGUCUAACUAAGCCUUCCUGUGCAAUGGCAAGCUAAACUCUGAAGGGUUUGAACACCUGUAACUUUGUCUGGAGUCAAUGAAAGCUGUGGAUACUGAAGAUCACUGAGAUUUUACAAAGAGAACAGCAGGACACAGAAGAAAAAAUCUAGAAGAAAAAAAAAAACAACCUACAAUAUUGUAUAUGAAACGAGAUUGGUUGGUUUAUACUAUGAAAAAAUCCACUGUUGUAAAAGAAUCAGAAUCCUGGCAGCAAAGAAAAUUGACCGUCAAGACAGGAGCAGACCUCUAUCCUACUAACUUCCCCUUGCCUUUAAUUUCCUUUGUCUCUUUCUGCUAAUGUAGGACAAAUCUUGUCCUACAGCUUUCAUGAAAUCUGAAAUUAAUGUAAAAGUCGGGUCUGGGAGAGGAAGAGGGAGAUCAAACCCUGCUGGAUGAUGUAACGGCUUUGUAGCCUAGCAUCUUUUCAGUAACAAGUAUCUGUUGCGCUUUUUUUUUUUAAACCCACGUUUGAGGUUGAAGUAUUGUCCCCAACAACGACAAACUACUUCAAUCCUCGACAACAACAUGAACAACCGUUAGUAAGGGGGAAGAUUUCCACGGACAGACCAAGUGCCGGAGCCGCGUCCCUGCGGAUCAGCACCGCGGACAGCGGCCGCGCCCGCCCUCACUGCCCUGCCUCGAAGGGAGCUGGUGGCCUCAUGCCUUUCUUUUCUUCUUCCAAUCCCCCCUCCCCCCCCCAUUUUUUUUUUUUAAUUUCUAGCGCGAAAUCGCUGGCCGAUAUCUGUUUUCAAGUGAUGGAGGUGGGAUGGCUUAAGACUUAAAACAAUUAAUCCAAGAGAACAAUAAUUCCCGCGGAGUUAAGCCCUCUAACCUGUUUUCUUCCCACAUUAUUUUUCCACCUAUGGAGUAGAAGUCUCUUACUUGGAGUGUGAAACAUCCUUAUCUUCUAGUCUACUGGAGAGCCUGGCAUACGGAGAAUGACUAUUCUGUUAGAAGUUCAGAAACUGAGUAUUUAUUUUAGUGGCAGGAUCAUGUGAUUUUCUUUGCCUAUCAGCUAAAUUUACUGUUUGUAAAGCACCAGGAGACAAAUUUAUUGGAAAAUUCAAAGCAAGGGGCAUAAAAACAAUACUGUGGACCCUGGAAAUCAUUUUGAGAUCAAGCUAUAAAAAAGUCGCAUUACUACGUAAUGGAGAACUGUCAGAAAAGAGUCAGCAGAAGAUGAAAAGCCAUGUACAAAAGAAAGAGCAAGCAUCAACAGACAAAGCUCUGGAUGGAAAAGUAGUCAUAUCUCACAUACAGGAAAAAAAAAAAGAGGCUCUUCAGUAUUCAGAUUUCUCAGCUGUCACUCUUGGGAUUUCAUCUCAUUUGUUUUUUCCUGAUCAUACUGUAGAGGAUAUGACUUAAAAUUAGGGCCGAACAUCUUCUGAACCUCACCAUCCUCAUGAGAAUCUAUUGUAAAGGGGCAUGAAGGUCCAUCCUAUCCUUGAAAAACACAGAAAGGACAGAAAGGUGGGGUAUUCCUCCCUCCCUAACACGUACAUCUUUCUAUAACCAGUUUCCUCUGUACCCUUUCCUCUCCAUACUCCCCUGCAGUGAUUGGCAGUUGUGACUACAGGACACCCAGACUGAGACUCAGUGACAAUGAGGACUGGGAAGUGCCUGAGACACAGGGCCUCAGAACUUGUGAGUAGCAAUACUGUAAACAAGGAACUGUGGUCAUAUUUCUGAUGCUUAUGGCUACCUAGAAAGCAGAGAGAGUGAACUUACAGGGGACUGCAAAGAUGAUUUAAUGAGGAGCUCAGAGAGCUAAUGGUGGUGAAGGAAGGGAGCAAGGAAGCCUGUUGGAAUGUAUGGAGAGGAAGGAAAUGGUCCAGGAUUUGAUUCUCAGUAAGGGGUCAGAGAUCACCAGGGCAGUAAAAGUUGGAUGUGAGCUGAGGUGAGGCAGAAGAGAGUCCUGAUCAGGGAUGGAUGUGAGGAAGCAGUCACUACAAAGUGAUGCAUAUUCACCUGAACUGGUCCUGAAGACUUGGAGAAAGCUUGCCAGGCUUCUCUCAGGUCCAUCUUCUCUGCAAGAACUAUCAUUUUCACUGCAUUUAUUCUUCUGACAGCUCUGCUUUCAGCAUAAACAGGCUGUCUUGUCUUAGCCCCCUCCUCACUCCCCCUGCUCAGCCCCCACACUAUGCCAAUUCCCUGGGUGAAAGCAAAAUGCCUUUUCUAUUUUUUUCUUUAAACAAAAGUGUCCUUUUAAAUUUUCAGCUAAACUGGGAGGCAAUUUCUUGCAUGAGAGCUUUGUAUAGAUAGGCUUAUAGCUGAACAAAAAUAAAUAAAUACACUAAAUAA